GAUGAACGCUGGCGGCGUGCCUAAUACAUGCAAGUCGAGCGAACAGACGAGGAGCUUGCUCCUCUGACGUUAGCGGCGGACGGGUGAGUAACACGUGGAUAACCUACCUAUAAGACUGGGAUAACUUCGGGAAACCGGAGCUAAUACCGGAUAAUAUAUUGAACCGCAUGGUUCAAUAGUGAAAGACGGUUUUGCUGUCACUUAUGGAUGGAUCCGCGCCGCAUUAGCUAGUUGGUAAGGUAACGGCUUACCAAGGCAACGAUGCGUAGCCGACCUGAGAGGGUGAUCGGCCACACUGGAACUGAGACACGGUCCAGACUCCUACGGGAGGCAGCAGUAGAGAAUCUUCCGCAAUGGGCGAAAGCCUGACGGAGCAACGCCGCGUGAGUGAUGAAGGUCUUCGGAUCGUAAAACUCUGUUAUUAGGGAAGAACAAAUGUGUAAGUAACUAUGCACGUCUUGACGGUACCUAAUCAGAAAGCCACGGCUAACUACGUG
This 497-nucleotide ribosomal RNA is filed under the name uncultured bacterium. RNAcentral describes it as "partial 16S ribosomal RNA". It matches the Rfam family "Bacterial small subunit ribosomal RNA", at positions 28 to 507 of the family's 1533-position model. The record is from RNAcentral.